CUACGGGGUGCAGCAGUGAGGAAUAUUGCACAAUGGGGGGAACCCUGAUGCAGCAACGCCGCGUGGAGGAUGACGCAUUUCGGCGUGUAAACUCCUUUUAUAUGUCAAGAAAAUGACGGUAGCAUAUGAAUAAGCACCGGCUAACUCCGUGCCAGCAGCCGCGGUAAUACGGAGGGUGCAAGCGUUACUCGGAAUCACUGGGCGUAAAGGACGCGUAGGCGGGUUGGAAAGUCAGGUGUGAAAUCCUACAGCUUAACUGUAGAACUGCACUUGAAACUUCUAAUCUAGAGUAUGGGAGGGGGAGAUGGAAUUAGUGGUGUAGGGGUAAAAUCCGUAGAUAUCACUAGGAAUACCUAAAGCGAAGGCGAUCUCCUGGAACAUUGCUGACGCUAAGGCGUGAAAGCGUGGGGAACAAACAGGAUUAGAUACCCCAGUAGUC
This 439-nucleotide ribosomal RNA is filed under the name uncultured bacterium. Its description in RNAcentral is "partial 16S ribosomal RNA". It matches the Rfam family "Bacterial small subunit ribosomal RNA", at positions 339 to 795 of the family's 1533-position model. The record is from RNAcentral.